CAGUUCUCUGAAGAAUAUGGAGCCAUUUAUGGAUGAAGAAACUGGGGCUCAAAGAGGACCAUCCAUCUUGCAAGCCAUGAAGGCUAAUUUUGUAGCUGUGAAAUUUGACUCCAAGCUGCCUGGAAGCAAAAAUAGACACACGGAGCCACCAUGCUGUAAGGAGGCCCAAGCAGCCAUGUGGAAAGGCCAACACGGAGAAGAACCAAGGCCCCUGGCUGACAGCCCAAGCUGAGAUCCCAGCCAGCAGCCAGCACCAAACAUGGAAGAAGGUUAGUUUUGACUUCCCAGCCAUCCCAAC
Physeter macrocephalus (sperm whale) is the source of this 298-nucleotide long non-coding RNA. RefSeq lists it as uncharacterized. The transcript has 3 exons. Lineage: Eukaryota; Metazoa; Chordata; Mammalia; Artiodactyla; Physeteridae. The record is from RefSeq and is a predicted model, not a curated record.